AAAACUUUCUCUGAAUUCAGUUAUUCUUCCCUUACAACAGUGCUUUACGACCCGAAAGCCUUCAUCACACACGCGGCGUCGCUCCGUCACACUUUCGUGCAUUGCGGAAAAUUCCCUACUGCAGCCUCCCGUAGGAGUUUGGGCAGUGUCUCAGUCCCAAUGUGGCCGGCCAGUCUCUCAACUCGGCUACGCAUCAUUGCCUUGGUAGGCUUCUACCCUACCAACAAGCUAAUACGCCGCAAGACCAUCCUCUAGCGAUCCAAAAGGACCUUUCAAACAGAUCACAUGUGUGAUUUGUUGUUACGCGGUAUUAGCAUCUGUUUCCAAAUGUUAUCCCCCACUAAAGGGCAGGUUUCUUACGUGUUACUCACCAGUUCGCCACUCUAGUCAUUGCCUCACUUCACCCGAAGGA
RNAcentral lists this ribosomal RNA (412 nucleotides) under Oenococcus oeni. Its description in RNAcentral is "partial 16S ribosomal RNA". Lineage: Bacteria; Bacillati; Bacillota; Bacilli; Lactobacillales; Lactobacillaceae. The record is from RNAcentral.